RNAcentral lists this ribosomal RNA (589 nucleotides) under uncultured bacterium. RNAcentral describes it as "partial 16S ribosomal RNA". It matches the Rfam family "Bacterial small subunit ribosomal RNA", at positions 355 to 1375 of the family's 1533-position model. The record is from RNAcentral.
UGGAGAAUUUUGGACAAUGGGCGAAAGCCUGAUCCAGCAAUGCCGCGUGUGUGAAGAAGGCCUUCGGGUUGUAAAGCACUUUUGUCCGGAAAGAAAUCCUUGGCUCUAAUACAGUCGGGGGAUGACGGUACCGGAAGAAUAAGCACCGGCUAACUACGUGCCAGCAGCCGCGGUAAUACGUAGGGUGCAAGCGUUAAUCGGAAUUACUGGGCGUAAAGCGUGCGCAGGCGGUUUGCUAAGACCGAUGUGAAAUCCCCGGGCUCAACCUGGGAACUGCAUUGGUGACUGGCAGGCUAGAGUAUGGCAGAGGGGGGUAGAAUUCCACGUGUAGCAGUGAAAUGCGUAGAGAUGUGGAGGAAUACCGAUGGCGAAGGCAGCCCCCUGGGCCAAUACUGACGCUCAUGCACGAAAAGCGUGGGGGAGCAAACAGGAUUAGAUACCCCUGGUAGUCCACGCCCUAAAACGAUGUCAACUAGUUGUUGGGGAUUCAUUUCCUUAGUAACGUAGCUAACGCGUGAAGUUGACCGCCUGGGGAGUACGGUCGCAAGAUUAAAACUCAAAUGAAUUGACGGGGUCAUAGCUGUUUCCU